UACGGAGGGUGCAAGCGUUAUCCGGAUUUAUUGGGUUUAAAGGGUGUGUAGGCGGCAAUGUAAGUCAGUGGUGAAAUACAGCAGCUUAACUGUUGAAAUGCCAUUGAAACUGCUUUGCUAGAGUACAGUCGAAGUAAGUGGAAUUCCACAUGUAGUAGUGAAAUGCUUAGAUAUGUGGAGGAACACCGAUAACGAAAGUAGCUUACUAGGCUGUUACUGACGCUGAGGCACGAAAGCGUGGGGAGCGAACGGG
This 253-nucleotide ribosomal RNA is filed under the name uncultured bacterium. RNAcentral describes it as "partial 16S ribosomal RNA". It matches the Rfam family "Bacterial small subunit ribosomal RNA", at positions 524 to 776 of the family's 1533-position model. The record is from RNAcentral.